UUGGGCACUCUAUCGAGACCGACGGCGACAAGCCGUAGGAAGGUGGGGGAUGAUGUCAAGUCAGCAUGGCCUUUAUAUCCAGGGCUACACACGUCCUACAAUGACCGGUACAAAGGGAAGCAAGACCGCGAGGUGGAGCAAAUCCCAAAAAAGCCGGCCUCAGUGCGGAUUGCAGUCUGCAACUCGACUGCAUGAAGUUGGAAUCGCUAGUAAUCGCAGAUCAGCACGCUGCGGUGAAUAAGUUCUCGGGUUUU
RNAcentral lists this ribosomal RNA (254 nucleotides) under uncultured Syntrophaceae bacterium. RNAcentral's name for it is "partial 16S ribosomal RNA". It matches the Rfam family "Bacterial small subunit ribosomal RNA", at positions 1131 to 1382 of the family's 1533-position model. The record is from RNAcentral. Lineage: Bacteria; Pseudomonadati; Thermodesulfobacteriota; Syntrophia; Syntrophales; Syntrophaceae.